GAUGAACGCUGGCGGCGUGCCUAAUACAUGCAAGUCGAGCGAACAGAUGAGGAGCUUGCUCCUCUGACGUUAGCGGCGGACGGGUGAGUAACACGUGGAUAACCUACCUAUAAGACUGGGAUAACUUCGGGAAACCGGAGCUAAUACCGGAUAAUAUAUUGAACCGCAUGGUUCAAUAGUGAAAGACGGUUUUGCUGUCACUUAUAGUUGGAUCCGCGCCGCAUUAGCUAGUUGGUAAGGUAACGGCUUACCAAGGCAACGAUGCGUAGCCGACCUGAGAGGGUGAUCGGCCACACUGGAACUGAGACACGGUCCAGACCCCUACGGGAGGCAGCAGUAGGGAAUCUUCCGCAAUGGGCGAAAGCCUGACGGAGCAACGCCGCGUGAGUGAUGAAGGUCUUCGGAUCGUAAAACUCUGUUAUUGGGGAAGAACAAAUGUGUAAGUAACUAUGCACGUCUUGACGGUACCUAAUCAGAAAGCCACGGCUAACUACGUG
Molecule: ribosomal RNA, 497 nt
Filed under: uncultured bacterium
Lineage: Bacteria
Description: partial 16S ribosomal RNA
Rfam family: Bacterial small subunit ribosomal RNA
Source: RNAcentral